AGGGCGCACGGUGGAUGCCUUGGUACUAGGAGUCGAUGAAGGACGGGACUAACACCGAUAUGC
This 63-nucleotide ribosomal RNA is filed under the name Halobacillus dabanensis. RNAcentral's name for it is "partial 23S ribosomal RNA". Lineage: Bacteria; Bacillati; Bacillota; Bacilli; Caryophanales; Bacillaceae. The record is from RNAcentral.